GGGGGGGGGGGGGGGGGGGGCGGAGGGGUGCAGGGCGGGGGGACGGGCGGGGGGGUUGGGCCUCUGGCGCUGGCGGCGGACGGGGGAGUAACACGCGGGUAACCGACCUCUAAGAGUUGGGUAACUUCGGGGAAGCGGAGCCAAUACCGGCUAAUAUAUUGAACCGGAUGGAUCAAUAGUGCAAGACGGCUUUGGCGUCGCUUAUAGAUGGUUCCGCGCCGCAUUAGCUAGUUGGUAAGGUAACGGCUUACCAAGGCAACGAUGCGUAGCCGACCUGAGAGGGUGAUCGGCCACACUGGAACUGAGACACGGUCCAGACUCCUACGGGAGGCAGCAGUAGGGAAUCUUCCGCAAUGGGCGAAAGCCUGACGGAGCAACGCCGCGUGAGUGAUGAAGGUCUUCGGAUCGUAAAACUCUGUUAUUAGGGAAGAACAAAUGUGUAAGUAACUAUGCACGUCUUGACGGUACCUAAUCAGAAAGCCACGGCUAACUACGUG
This 497-nucleotide ribosomal RNA is filed under the name uncultured bacterium. Its description in RNAcentral is "partial 16S ribosomal RNA". It matches the Rfam family "Bacterial small subunit ribosomal RNA", at positions 38 to 507 of the family's 1533-position model. The record is from RNAcentral.